UUUGGUGAUAGGAGCGACGUUGGUACACCCGGCAACAUCCCGAACCCGGUCGUUAAGGACGUCAGCGCCGAUGGUACUUGGGGGGCGACCCCCUGGGAGAGUAGGUCAUCGCCAAAA
This is a ribosomal RNA of Anaerolinea thermophila, 117 nucleotides long. The record is from Rfam. Lineage: Bacteria; Bacillati; Chloroflexota; Anaerolineae; Anaerolineales; Anaerolineaceae.